This 242-nucleotide unclassified non-coding RNA is filed under the name Hevea brasiliensis (rubber tree). The record is from RNAcentral. Lineage: Eukaryota; Viridiplantae; Streptophyta; Magnoliopsida; Malpighiales; Euphorbiaceae.
GGGGAUAGGCUUAAAAACCAAAAAUGACUUGCCAGUUGAAAAUGUUCACCCAGGUGACAAACUAGGGAUAGCAAAUCCUAUGAAGAUUCACGGUACCAGGAUUUGCUUUUAUCCACCUUUGUUCUUUCUUUUAUAUCCCAGAAAUGAUGUUAGCGAAGAUUCAAGCUGCUCCAUAUUACCAAGAGUGAGAUUGCAACGUGUACCAUACUUGUUUAUCUCCUUAAUCAAGAAAAAUCUGAUGC